GUCGUGAGAUGUUGGGUUAAGUCCCGCAACGAGCGCAACCCUCGUCCUAUGUUGCCAGCGGGUAAUGCCGGGGACUCGUAGGAGACUGCCGGGGUCAACUCGGAGGAAGGUGGGGAUGACGUCAAGUCAUCAUGCCCCUUACGUCCAGGGCUGCAAACAUGCUACAAUGGCCGGUACAAAGGGCUGCUAUUCCGCGAGGAUGAGCGAAUCCCAAAAAGCCGGUCUCAGUUCGGAUUGGAGUCUGCAACUCGACUCCAUGAAGUCGGAGUCGCUAGUAAUCCCGGAUCAGCAACGCCGGGGUGAAUACGUUCCCGGGCCUUGUACACACCGCCCGUCACACCACGAAAGUCGGCAACACCCGAAGCCAGUGGCCCAACCCGUAAGGGGGGGAGCUGUCGAAGGUGGGGUCGGUGAUUGGGGUGAAGUCGUAACAAGGUAGCCGUACCGGAAGGUGCGGCUGGAUCACCUCCUUUCUAAGGAGUCUCACUGCCUGCCCAUUUUGGGUGGGUGACUCCCAUGUCGAUCACUGGUUAUUGGGCAAUCCUCGAGCACGGUCGGUCGUAGGCCAAUGCCUUUUCAAAGGCGGAGACCUCCUAGCCGUGAACCUGGUGCGCCUGACUGUCUCUGUUCCGUUUUCUGGGAGCGUUCGCGCGCCUGGUCGCCUUGAGAAUUCCAUAGCGAGCACGAGCAUCUUUGUUCUCCAAGCUACAAAGAGCCAACGGUGGGUGCCUUGGCGCCUGAAGCCGAAGAAGGACGUGGGUGGCUGCGUUAAGCCACGGGGAGCUGCCGACCAAGCUUCGAUCCGUGGAUGU
RNAcentral lists this small RNA (812 nucleotides) under uncultured Sphingomonadaceae bacterium. RNAcentral describes it as "bacterial SSU rRNA". The stretch from base 1 to 473 matches the Rfam family "Bacterial small subunit ribosomal RNA", at positions 1064 to 1533 of the family's 1533-position model. The record is from RNAcentral. Lineage: Bacteria; Pseudomonadati; Pseudomonadota; Alphaproteobacteria; Sphingomonadales; Sphingomonadaceae.